This 253-nucleotide ribosomal RNA is filed under the name uncultured bacterium. Its description in RNAcentral is "partial 16S ribosomal RNA". It matches the Rfam family "Bacterial small subunit ribosomal RNA", at positions 524 to 776 of the family's 1533-position model. The record is from RNAcentral.
UACGUAGGCAGCAAGCGUUGUUCGGAGUUACUGGGCGUAAAGGGUGUGUAGGCGGUUGGAUAAGUGUGGUGUGAAAUCUCCCGGCUCAACUGGGAGGGUGCGCUACAAACUGUCUGACUAGAGUGCGGGAUGGGAAAGUGGAAUUCCUGGUGUAGCGGUGAAAUGCGUAGAUAUCAGGAGGAACACCGAUGGCGAAGGCAGCUCGCUGGGACGGUACUGACGCUGAGACGCGAAAGCGUGGGGAGCAAACAGG